GACGAACGCUGGCGGCGUGCUUAACACAUGCAAGUCGAACGCUGAAGCUUGGUGCUUGCACUGGGUGGAUGAGUGGCGAACGGGUGAGUAAUACGUGAGUAACCUGCCCUUGACUCUGGGAUAAGCCUGGGAAACUGGGUCUAAUACUGGAUACGACAUGUCACCGCAUGGUGGUGUGUGGAAAGGGUUUUACUGGUUUUGGAUGGGCUCACGGCCUAUCAGCUUGUUGGUGGGGUAAUGGCUCACCAAGGCGACGACGGGUAGCCGGCCUGAGAGGGUGACCGGCCACACUGGGACUGAGACACGGCCCAGACUCCUACGGGAGGCAGCAGUGGGGAAUAUUGCACAAUGGGCGGAAGCCUGAUGCAGCGACGCCGCGUGAGGGAUGACGGCCUUCGGGUUGUAAACCUCUUUCAGCACGGAAGAAGCGAAAGUG
RNAcentral lists this ribosomal RNA (436 nucleotides) under Kocuria sp. oral taxon B56. RNAcentral describes it as "bacterial SSU rRNA". It matches the Rfam family "Bacterial small subunit ribosomal RNA", at positions 28 to 458 of the family's 1533-position model. The record is from RNAcentral. Lineage: Bacteria; Bacillati; Actinomycetota; Actinomycetes; Micrococcales; Micrococcaceae.